AUUGAACGCUGGCGGCAUGCCUUACACAUGCAAGUCGAACGGUAACGCGGGGCAACCUGGCGACGAGUGGCGAACGGGUGAGUAAUGCAUCGGAACGUACCCAGUAGUGGGGGAUAGCCCGGCGAAAGCCGGAUUAAUACCGCAUACGACCUAAGGGUGAAAGCGGGGGACCGUAAGGCCUCGCGUUAUUGGAGCGGCCGAUGUCAGAUUAGGUAGUUGGUGGGGUAAAGGCCUACCAAGCCUUCGAUCUGUAGCUGGUCUGAGAGGACGACCAGCCACACUGGGACUGAGACACGGCCCAGACUCCUACGGGAGGCAGCAGUGGGGAAUUUUGGACAAUGGGCGAAAGCCUGAUCCAGCCAUGCCGCGUGCGGGAAGAAGGCCUCGGUUGUAACCGCUUUGUCAGGGAAGAACGACUCUGGGCGUAAUACCCU
This 434-nucleotide ribosomal RNA is filed under the name uncultured bacterium. RNAcentral's name for it is "bacterial SSU rRNA". It matches the Rfam family "Bacterial small subunit ribosomal RNA", at positions 29 to 481 of the family's 1533-position model. The record is from RNAcentral.